This 268-nucleotide unclassified non-coding RNA is filed under the name Hevea brasiliensis (rubber tree). Lineage: Eukaryota; Viridiplantae; Streptophyta; Magnoliopsida; Malpighiales; Euphorbiaceae. The record is from RNAcentral.
GCCUUGUUGCAUCCUCCGCACGGAGACUGUGAAAUGUCGUACUUGCCUCAGAGGUAGCACUACCAUGCUCCUGCACCUGGGAAUCGGAAUGUGCAUGAGGCAGCGCCUUGUGACACAUGUAGCAAUCUUCCAAUCGAUACCCCUGGCCCUGCAUUGGCGGUGGUACCGCUUGACGCACACCAUAGAGUUCAACAUUCUGUGGUUGCAGGUAAGUCGGGGGCACUGGUAGGAGUUGUGACACAAGCUGAUUACCGGCCCUAGAGUUAGG